GGCACAUGCUCACUUUGUGGUUCAAGCUAGAAAGUUUGUGGAAGACUUUCCUGUUAAACUACAGCAAAAAAUUGAACAGAUUUCUCAGGAGAUGGAUAAACUGACAGCAGAAUUUAGAGCACUUGAGGAUCAACGAGAGUUUCAUCAAAGACAUGAGAAAUCUACAACAAUCAGCUUAAAGAAGCAGUUCUGUAAUGUCCCUUUGGCAAUAAAAUGGAAGCCAGCAGCUGAUGGUUUGCUAUGAUAUGUAAAUAGAUGUCUUGUAGUUGGCUGUCCAGGUAAUUUCCUG
This 289-nucleotide unclassified non-coding RNA is filed under the name Hevea brasiliensis (rubber tree). The record is from RNAcentral. Lineage: Eukaryota; Viridiplantae; Streptophyta; Magnoliopsida; Malpighiales; Euphorbiaceae.